RNAcentral lists this ribosomal RNA (500 nucleotides) under uncultured bacterium. RNAcentral's name for it is "partial 16S ribosomal RNA". It matches the Rfam family "Bacterial small subunit ribosomal RNA", at positions 30 to 523 of the family's 1533-position model. The record is from RNAcentral.
AUUGAACGCUGGCGGAAUGCUUUACACAUACAAGUCGAACGGCAGCACGGACUUCGGUCUGGUGGCGAGUGGCGAACGGGUGAGUAAUGUAUCGGAACGUGCCCAGUCGUGGGGGAUAACGUAGUGAAAAUUACGCUAAUACCGCAUACGAUCUAUGGAUGAAAGCGGGGGAUCGCAAGACCUCGCGCGAUUGGAGCGGCCGAUAUCAGAUUAGGUAGUUGGUGGGGUAAAGGCCCACCAAGCCAACGAUCUGUAGCUGGUCUGAGAGGACGACCAGCCAAACUGGAACUGAGACACGGUCCAGACUCCUACGGGAGGCAGCAGUGGGGAAUUUUGGACAAUGGGCGAAAGCCUGAUCCAGCCAUUCCGCGUGCGGGAUGAAGGCCCUCGGGUUGUAAACUGCUUUUGUACAGAACGAAAAGGUUUCUACUAAUACUAGGAGCUCAUGACGGUACUGUAAGAAUAAGCACCGGCUAACUACGUGCCAGCCGCCGCAGUAA